Molecule: ribosomal RNA, 563 nt
Filed under: uncultured Burkholderia sp.
Lineage: Bacteria; Pseudomonadati; Pseudomonadota; Betaproteobacteria; Burkholderiales; Burkholderiaceae
Description: partial 16S rRNA
Rfam family: Bacterial small subunit ribosomal RNA
Source: RNAcentral
UGCUUGGCAUGGGCGAAACCUGACCGCAAUGCCGGGCUAGUGAAGAAGGCCUUCGGGUUGUAAAGCACUUUUGUCCGGAAAGAAAACCUCCGCCCUAAUAUGGUGGGGGGAUGACGGUACCGGAAGAAUAAGCACCGGCUAACUACGUGCCAGCAGCCGCGGUAAUACGUAGGGUGCAAGCGUUAAUCGGAAUUACUGGGCGUAAAGCGUGCGCAGGCGGUCCGCUAAGACAGAUGUGAAAUCCCCGGGCUUAACCUGGGAACUGCAUUUGUGACUGGCGGGCUAGAGUAUGGCAGAGGGGGGUAGAAUUCCACGUGUAGCAGUGAAAUGCGUAGAGAUGUGGAGGAAUACCGAUGGCGAAGGCAGCCCCCUGGGCCAAUACUGACGCUCAUGCACGAAAGCGUGGGGAGCAAACAGGAUUAGAUACCCUGGUUGUCCACGCCCCUAAACGAUGUCAACUAAUUGUUGGGGAUUCAUUUACUUAUUAACGAAACUUAACGCGUGAAGUUUGACCGCGCGGGGAGUCCCUGGCCCAAAAAUUUAAAAAAUUUGAUGGCUUCCAC